Molecule: ribosomal RNA, 2868 nt
Filed under: Pseudomonas aeruginosa
Lineage: Bacteria; Pseudomonadati; Pseudomonadota; Gammaproteobacteria; Pseudomonadales; Pseudomonadaceae
Description: 23S ribosomal RNA
Rfam family: Bacterial large subunit ribosomal RNA
Source: RNAcentral
GUUAUAUGGUCAAGUGAAGAAGCGCAUACGGUGGAUGCCUUGGCAGUCAGAGGCGAUGAAAGACGUGGUAGCCUGCGAAAAGCUUCGGGGAGUCGGCAAACAGACUUUGAUCCGGAGAUCUCUGAAUGGGGGAACCCACCUAGGAUAACCUAGGUAUCUUGUACUGAAUCCAUAGGUGCAAGAGGCGAACCAGGGGAACUGAAACAUCUAAGUACCCUGAGGAAAAGAAAUCAACCGAGAUUCCCUUAGUAGUGGCGAGCGAACGGGGAUUAGCCCUUAAGCUUCAUUGAUUUUAGCGGAACGCUCUGGAAAGUGCGGCCAUAGUGGGUGAUAGCCCCGUACGCGAAAGGAUCUUUGAAGUGAAAUCGAGUAGGACGGAGCACGAGAAACUUUGUCUGAACAUGGGGGGACCAUCCUCCAAGGCUAAAUACUACUGACUGACCGAUAGUGAACCAGUACCGUGAGGGAAAGGCGAAAAGAACCCCGGAGAGGGGAGUGAAAUAGAACCUGAAACCGUAUGCGUACAAGCAGUGGGAGCCUACUUGUUAGGUGACUGCGUACCUUUUGUAUAAUGGGUCAGCGACUUAUAUUCAGUGGCAAGCUUAACCGUAUAGGGUAGGCGUAGCGAAAGCGAGUCUUAAUAGGGCGUUUAGUCGCUGGGUAUAGACCCGAAACCGGGCGAUCUAUCCAUGAGCAGGUUGAAGGUUAGGUAACACUGACUGGAGGACCGAACCCACUCCCGUUGAAAAGGUAGGGGAUGACUUGUGGAUCGGAGUGAAAGGCUAAUCAAGCUCGGAGAUAGCUGGUUCUCCUCGAAAGCUAUUUAGGUAGCGCCUCAUGUAUCACUCUGGGGGGUAGAGCACUGUUUCGGCUAGGGGGUCAUCCCGACUUACCAAACCGAUGCAAACUCCGAAUACCCAGAAGUGCCGAGCAUGGGAGACACACGGCGGGUGCUAACGUCCGUCGUGAAAAGGGAAACAACCCAGACCGCCAGCUAAGGUCCCAAAGUUGUGGUUAAGUGGUAAACGAUGUGGGAAGGCUUAGACAGCUAGGAGGUUGGCUUAGAAGCAGCCAUCCUUUAAAGAAAGCGUAAUAGCUCACUAGUCGAGUCGGCCUGCGCGGAAGAUGUAACGGGGCUCAAACCACACACCGAAGCUGCGGGUGUCACGUAAGUGACGCGGUAGAGGAGCGUUCUGUAAGCCUGUGAAGGUGAGUUGAGAAGCUUGCUGGAGGUAUCAGAAGUGCGAAUGCUGACAUGAGUAACGACAAUGGGUGUGAAAAACACCCACGCCGAAAGACCAAGGGUUCCUGCGCAACGUUAAUCGACGCAGGGUUAGUCGGUUCCUAAGGCGAGGCUGAAAAGCGUAGUCGAUGGGAAACAGGUUAAUAUUCCUGUACUUCUGGUUACUGCGAUGGAGGGACGGAGAAGGCUAGGCCAGCUUGGCGUUGGUUGUCCAAGUUUAAGGUGGUAGGCUGAAAUCUUAGGUAAAUCCGGGGUUUCAAGGCCGAGAGCUGAUGACGAGUCGUCUUUUAGAUGACGAAGUGGUUGAUGCCAUGCUUCCAAGAAAAGCUUCUAAGCUUCAGGUAACCAGGAACCGUACCCCAAACCGACACAGGUGGUCGGGUAGAGAAUACCAAGGCGCUUGAGAGAACUCGGGUGAAGGAACUAGGCAAAAUGGCACCGUAACUUCGGGAGAAGGUGCGCCGGCUAGGGUGAAGGAUUUACUCCGUAAGCUCUGGCUGGUCGAAGAUACCAGGCCGCUGCGACUGUUUAUUAAAAACACAGCACUCUGCAAACACGAAAGUGGACGUAUAGGGUGUGACGCCUGCCCGGUGCCGGAAGGUUAAUUGAUGGGGUUAGCGCAAGCGAAGCUCUUGAUCGAAGCCCCGGUAAACGGCGGCCGUAACUAUAACGGUCCUAAGGUAGCGAAAUUCCUUGUCGGGUAAGUUCCGACCUGCACGAAUGGCGUAACGAUGGCGGCGCUGUCUCCACCCGAGACUCAGUGAAAUUGAAAUCGCUGUGAAGAUGCAGUGUAUCCGCGGCUAGACGGAAAGACCCCGUGAACCUUUACUGUAGCUUUGCACUGGACUUUGAGCCUGCUUGUGUAGGAUAGGUGGGAGGCUUUGAAGCGUGGACGCCAGUUCGCGUGGAGCCAUCCUUGAAAUACCACCCUGGCAUGCUUGAGGUUCUAACUCUGGUCCGUGAUCCGGAUCGAGGACAGUGUAUGGUGGGCAGUUUGACUGGGGCGGUCUCCUCCUAAAGAGUAACGGAGGAGUACGAAGGUGCGCUCAGACCGGUCGGAAAUCGGUCGCAGAGUAUAAAGGCAAAAGCGCGCUUGACUGCGAGACAGACACGUCGAGCAGGUACGAAAGUAGGUCUUAGUGAUCCGGUGGUUCUGUAUGGAAGGGCCAUCGCUCAACGGAUAAAAGGUACUCCGGGGAUAACAGGCUGAUACCGCCCAAGAGUUCAUAUCGACGGCGGUGUUUGGCACCUCGAUGUCGGCUCAUCACAUCCUGGGGCUGAAGCCGGUCCCAAGGGUAUGGCUGUUCGCCAUUUAAAGUGGUACGCGAGCUGGGUUUAGAACGUCGUGAGACAGUUCGGUCCCUAUCUGCCGUGGACGUUUGAGAUUUGAGAGGGGCUGCUCCUAGUACGAGAGGACCGGAGUGGACGAACCUCUGGUGUUCCGGUUGUCACGCCAGUGGCAUUGCCGGGUAGCUAUGUUCGGAAAAGAUAACCGCUGAAAGCAUCUAAGCGGGAAACUUGCCUCAAGAUGAGAUCUCACUGGGAACUUGAUUCCCCUGAAGGGCCGUCGAAGACUACGACGUUGAUAGGCUGGGUGUGUAAGCGUUGUGAGGCGUUGAGCUAAC